UUGGAGGGCAAGUCUGGUGCCAGCAGCCGCGGUAAUUCCAGCUCCAAUAGCGUAUAUUAAAGUUGUUGCAGUUAAAAAGCUCGUAGUUGAAUUUCGGGAUCAUCAGGUUGGUCGUGCCAUUGGUAUGUACUAGCUUUGGUGGUUCCUACCUCUUGAAGAACCGUAAUGUCAUUAACUUGGUGUUGCGGGGAAUCAGGACUGUUACUUUGAAAAAAUUAGAGUGUUUAAAGCAGGCAAACGCUUGAAUACAUUAGCAUGGAAUAAUGAAAUAGGACGUUUGAUCUUAUUUUGUUGGUUUCUAGGAUCGACGUAAUGAUUAAUAGGGAUAGUUGGGGGCAUUAGUAUUCAAUUGUCAGAGGUGAAAUUCUUGGAUUUAUUGAAGACUAACUACUGCGAAAGCAUUUGCCAAGGAUGUUUUCAUUAAUCAAGAACGAAAGUUAGGGGAUCGAAGACGAUCAGAUACCGUCGUAGUCUUAACCAUAAACUAUGCCGACUAGGGAUCGGAUGAUGUUAAUUUUUUAAUGACUCAUUCGGCGCCUUACGGGAAAC
RNAcentral lists this ribosomal RNA (549 nucleotides) under uncultured Glomus. Its description in RNAcentral is "SSU rRNA". It matches the Rfam family "Eukaryotic small subunit ribosomal RNA", at positions 548 to 1098 of the family's 1831-position model. Lineage: Eukaryota; Fungi; Glomeromycota; Glomeromycetes; Glomerales; Glomeraceae. RNAcentral also lists the same sequence under 1 other name. The record is from RNAcentral.